CCUACGUGGGGCAGCAGUGAGGAAUAUUGGUCAAUGGGCGCGAGCCUGAACCAGCCAAGUAGCGUGAAGGAUGACUGCCCUACGGGUUGUAAACUUCUUUUAUAAAGGAAUAAAGUGAGGCACGUGUGCCUUUUUGUCUGUACUUUAUGAAUAAGGAUCGGCUAACUCCGUGCCAGCAGCCGCGGUAAUACGGAGGAUCCGAGCGUUAUCCGGAUUUAUUGGGUUUAAAGGGAGCGUAGAUGGGUUGUUAAGUCAGUUGUGAAAGUUUGCGGCUCAACCGUAAAAUUGCAAUUGAUACUGGCAGUCUUGAGUACAGUUGAGGUAGGCGGAAUUCGUGGUGUAGCGGUGAAAUGCUUAGAGAUCACGAAGAACUCCGAUUGCGAAGGCAGCUUACUAAACUGCCACUGACAUUGAUGCUCGAAAGUGUGGGUAUCAAACAGGAUUAGAUACCCUUGUAGUC
Molecule: ribosomal RNA, 460 nt
Filed under: uncultured bacterium
Lineage: Bacteria
Description: partial 16S ribosomal RNA
Rfam family: Bacterial small subunit ribosomal RNA
Source: RNAcentral